UUGAAGGAAAAUAUAGUGUCUUAUCUUUAUUCGAUAAAGCUAAAAAAGCAUAGAGAAAUUAAUAAUGGAGAAGAAGAGAAUGAUGAGAGUGGCAGCUAUGGCUAUGGUGUUCAUCGUCCUUAUAUCGGCUAACAUGGACACCGUUGGCGUCGCUGCUCAGGGUGUCAAUUGCUGGGACAAUUGCAAUACUGCCUGUGUUGGUCUCCCACCGAGAUUGUACGAUCGUUGUGAUGGGAAGUGCAUCAUUAGGUGCGGACCAGAUGGCAAAAUUGAUGGAACCCUGGGUUAAAAGUGCUAAAAAAAAGUACUUGCAAGCUACCAAGGGCUAUUAUUGUCUAUUUUGAUAAUAAAUCUUCGUAGUUUGGGAAAUAAACUUUAUAGUUAAGUGUAGGUGUAAUGUAUUUCAUUAAUUGUCAUAAUUAAUAGAUGCAUUGUACAUCAUGAUGGUGAAAACUACAUAUUGAAAUUAUAAUAGCCAGUUGAAUUUAUCAUA
Long non-coding RNA from Solanum dulcamara, 493 nucleotides. RefSeq lists it as uncharacterized. The record is from RefSeq and is a predicted model, not a curated record. The transcript is spliced from 3 exons. Lineage: Eukaryota; Viridiplantae; Streptophyta; Magnoliopsida; Solanales; Solanaceae.